UAUACCGUAAGGAUACAAGCUCAGUAUUAAAAUACCCGAUUUUCGUCAAAGCAUAAAAAAAUAAUAUUUUCUAAAAAUUAUUUUUGUUUUAAAAUACGGCCUAGUCUCUCCAAUAUAUAUACAUAAAUAUUAUAACAUCAUAUUUUCACACAACAAAGAAAAUUUUCAAAACAAUAUAUGUAUUAACAUGCAUUUUGGCUUUAAUAACCAGUUUAUUCAAGCCA
This 224-nucleotide long non-coding RNA is filed under the name Populus tremula. RNAcentral describes it as "long non-coding RNA (PTRE_LNC001105)". The record is from RNAcentral. Lineage: Eukaryota; Viridiplantae; Streptophyta; Magnoliopsida; Malpighiales; Salicaceae.